This is a long non-coding RNA of Quercus lobata, 581 nucleotides long. RefSeq lists it as uncharacterized. The record is from RefSeq and is a predicted model, not a curated record. NCBI's taxonomy places the organism in Eukaryota, Viridiplantae, Streptophyta, Magnoliopsida, Fagales, Fagaceae. The transcript has 3 exons.
UAGUCUUUUUUGGUAGAAUAUAGUGAUUUACCAUCGUUAUCAUCUCCUAAACUCAACAAAAUAUAUUGCUUUUUCUGUAGCCAUUAAUUAGAGGACGGUUGAUUUCCAAUUAGGCUCACAAAAUGCUAUGACAAUAAUGUUAUUAGGCCUUGCUAAUUCAUUAUACGGCAAUUUGUAUAUAAAGGACCCAAUGAACAUUGAAAUGCUCAUUAAUCCAACAAAUGAGGAACUAACUAUCACUUGAGAUCUUCUCAGAUGAAGCUUCCAUUGUAUGGUUGAUGGAGGUGUAGCUGCAGAAGAACAAUUGCUCUGGAUGGCAUGCUAGAUAUGUACUCCUCAUUAUGAGCAAAAUUCAUCGAACAAGUAACGGCUUUAUUCAUCCAAGCAUCUCAAACACUGAGAUGGAAAGAUUUAUUACCAACCAGAACACUUAUGUGGCACAACAGGCUUUAAGUUGAAUGGGAAUGUGUUCCUGGAAGUACGGAAGGAACUUCUAACUAUUAUGGAGUGACACUAUGUUUCCACUCGCCUGUAUGUACUCAAAGAAUGUAGCAUUUUCCCCACUAUUGAGCAAUAAAAAU